UUUUGCACAAUGGGCGAAAGCCUGAUGCAGCAACGCCGCGUGCGGGAUGAAGGCCCUCGGGUUGUAAACCGCUUUCAGCAGGGAUGAAGAUGACAGUACCUGCAGAAGAAGCCCCGGCUAACUACGUGCCAGCAGCCGCGGUAAUACGUAGGGGGCAAGCGUUAUCCGGAUUCAUUGGGCGUAAAGAGCGCGUAGGCGGACUGUUAAGUCAGAUGUGAAAACCGGGGGCUCAACCCGCGGCCUGCAUCUGAAACUGGCAGUCUUGAGUCUGGUAGAGGAAAGUGGAAUUCCUGGUGUAGCGGUGAAAUGCGCAGAUAUCAGGAGGAACACCAGUGGCGAAGGCGGCUUUCUGGGCCACGACUGACGCUGAGGCGCGAAAGCUAGGGGAGCGAACAGG
This 397-nucleotide ribosomal RNA is filed under the name uncultured bacterium. RNAcentral describes it as "bacterial SSU rRNA". It matches the Rfam family "Bacterial small subunit ribosomal RNA", at positions 362 to 776 of the family's 1533-position model. The record is from RNAcentral.